RNAcentral lists this long non-coding RNA (300 nucleotides) under Mytilus galloprovincialis (Mediterranean mussel). The record is from RNAcentral. Lineage: Eukaryota; Metazoa; Mollusca; Bivalvia; Mytilida; Mytilidae.
UAAAUUUUGAUUUUUUGAAAAAUAUAAAUGCAUAAUAUAACAAUAUUUAUAUGGACCAUACCUUAUUACAUAUAUACAUAUAAUAGAACUUCAAAUCUAUUAACAAUUAUUGCUUGCUAAACUGUCUACAAAUUGUUAGCUGUUUUUGAUUUUGGCAUAUUUAACAAAAUAUUGAUAUGCAAUGAUGUUUCAUUCAAAACUUAAAAGUUUUAUUUUAAGAAACUGAUUUGAUCUCAACUAAAUAUGCUAAAUAUGAAAUAUUAUAAUAUAACAUAUUCCUAUAAACAAACGUAACUUCAU